GAUGAACGCUGGCGGCGUGCCUAAUACAUGCAAGUCGAGCGAACGGACGAGAAGCUUGCUUCUCUGAUGUUAGCGGCGGACGGGUGAGUAACACGUGGAUAACCUACCUAUAAGACUGGGAUAACUUCGGGAAACCGUAGCUAAUACCGGAUAAUAUUUUGAACCGCAUGGUUCAAAAGUGAAAGACGGUUUUGCUGUCACUUAUAGAUGGAUCCGCGCUGCAUUAGCUAGUUGGUAAGGUAACGGCUUACCAAGGCAACGAUGCAUAGCCGACCUGAGAGGGUGAUCGGCCACACUGGAACUGAGACACGGUCCAGACUCCUACGGGAGGCAGCAGUAGGGAAUCUUCCGCAAUGGGCGAAAGCCUGACGGAGCAACGCCGCGUGAGUGAUGAAGGUCUUCGGAUCGUAAAACUCUGUUAUUAGGGAAGAACAUAUGUGUAAGUAACUGUGCACAUCUUGACGGUACCUAAUCAGAAUGCCACGGCUAACUACGUG
RNAcentral lists this ribosomal RNA (497 nucleotides) under uncultured bacterium. Its description in RNAcentral is "partial 16S ribosomal RNA". It matches the Rfam family "Bacterial small subunit ribosomal RNA", at positions 28 to 507 of the family's 1533-position model. The record is from RNAcentral.